AACUUGCCCAAGAAUAGACAACUAGGAGGAGCCAGAGUAAUGUGUGCUUGCUAUUAGAUAUUUAAACAAUGGAAAAAUAUUACAAAAGACUGCAAACUCCAUGACAGCAGGGAUAUUUGUUUUGUUUAUGGAUAUAUCCCAAGUACUAGAACAGUACCUGGAACAGAAGUGCUCAAGAAAUAUUUUUUCAGUGAAUGAAUUUGUUGAAUGCUAGCCCAUAAAGAGAAAUAUUUAACAGUUUGGUAUCUGUUUUUCUGGACUUUAAAAAAUAUAUACUAUAUGUUUUUUUUAAUUUUAUUUUUUUGAAUAGGCAAUACAUGGUCCAUAAAUCAAAAUACUAUAAAAAGGUAUACAGUGAAAAGAAGUGCUCCCACCCCUGCCCCCAUUCCCCCCUACCUCAGGUAAUCACUUUUUUUAGUUUCUGGUGUUUCCUUCCAGGGUUUCUAUAUGCAAAAAAUACAUACCUCCUUUCUUACACAAAACGUAUACUGCGCAUACUGUUCUGGACCUUGCUUUUUUACUUACAGUAUAUGAUUUUUUAAACAUGCAUAUGAUCAUAGUGUACAAUAGUGUUUUGUAACUUGCUUUGAUUCUCUUGGCAAAAAUAUAUUGCAGACUUCUAUCCUUGUUGAUACCUUUAGUUUUACCUGAGAAACAUUUAUUAUAGAUUAUCUGGGGUUAAAGAGAUCUGUAGACGAGUAGAAGUUUCAAACUUACAUUUGGGAAGUUUAACCAGCAUAUUUAAGGCAAGAAAGAUUUAUGGGUCAUAACUGUUUAAAAGCAGAAUACAGUUGGUACUUAAAGAUGUUAUGAUUGCUGAUUAAACUGAAGAGUCAUCUGAAAAGCAAAAGCAGUGAGUACCAAGUUGACCAGUUGUAUCCUCAAAUCAGCUAGCAAAACCAGUAAGUCGGUAAAAAGAUCCCAGUCAUUAUAACAACAAAAAACCUAAAAUGUCCAGGAAUUAAUUAGAGAUGUCAGGAUUUAUAUGAAGAAAAUCAUUGAACUUUGUUGAAGGGUGUAAUAUAAGGCUGAAUAAGUGUAGACAUACCAAUUUUAUGCGCCAAUUUUUUUCUUUUUAUUAUUUUUACAAUUUGGCCAAUGUUAGUGAUGAGUGGUUGUGUUCAGUUUUUUUAUUGAUACAUAAUUUGUUAAGCAUCCUUUUGAUGAUCUUUUUGUUUCCAUAAAAUUUCUAAAGAGGAACUUUGGAAUGAGAUUUAUAGGUCUUCAGAAUAUCAUUUUCAUGACUUUUGAUGCAUGAACAUACUUCUUAAGAGGUUUUUAAGAGGUUGUACAUAGAAACUUGCACAAUGGAUGAUUAUUACUGCCUUGAACUAGUCUCAAUUUAAUAAAAAGUACCUAUGUAACUUAACUGAUAUUUACAUGUAGUAGAUUUUUUUCAAAGGUUGACAUAGGGAAAGAUAAGGGAGAUGAUAUGCUGGUUUUUAAUGAAAAGGAAUGUCUUUUUGUGGUCUACUAAUUGACUGCUUUAAGAAGAGAACCUACUAUUAGUUCAGUGGAUUGUUAAGUUCUGGAGUAGUGUUAGUUUAGAAGCAAUAAAGGAUUGGUUGCUAAAGGUAAAAAGCAAACCUUAAAACAAUAACCUAAAAACAAAUGGGAAGGUUCUGGGCAGAGAAUUAACAUUAUUAAUGCAGUUCAGUUUCAGUUUUCUUUUUUUCAUACAGCAGAGCAAACUAUUUCCUGGUUUUGUUUAUGGAAAGAUGUUAUGCUGUAUCAGCUGGAAUCUAGCUUUGCUUAUGAAGGUGUAACCACGUAGGUGAAAGAUGUUGAUUACUGAGUUUUCUCACACCAUAUAUUAAUCAAAUACUCUUAUUUGGGUUGGGUUUCUAUAGGGAAAUUUCAUUUUGACUUUUCAUUUAGAAUUUUUCCGUUUGGUUCUAAAUCUAUAGGGGACAUUACAUUCAGUACACUUCAUUUUUAAAGAAUAUGUUGCUUAACAAUAAUUCUAGAUCCUGGGAUUGGAUAUCUAUCAGAUCCCACUCAUAUCUCCACAGUGUGAAAUUAGCAAAAAGAUAUAGUUAAAUACUCAGUCUCGAUUUAGACCGAAUAAUUGUGUUUCUCAGCUGGACACACAUUUUCCAGCCAUUCGGUUUUUGCCUGCCUUAUGUAUUUAGGUGAUUAUUCUUCUAGGUUUAUCAAGAAACUGAGGAGUACCUUUUUAGGAUUGUUGCUGGAGGCUGUUGGAACAUAGACUAGCUUCAAAUUUGAGAGUCAGAUUGAUUGAUAAAAUAUAUCUGAUGUUGUUACCGCUGAAUAAAUGACUUUUGCUGGUAAAGUAGUAUGCUUUUAAAAUAAUAUGAAAAAAUUCUGAAUUAAAGUUAGUAAUUUACACUGUAAUUGAUUUUAGAUGUUAUUAUAUUACUUGCUAAUAAGAUUUUUUUUUUUUCUGGGAAUAGAAGCUCAUAAAAAUUUAAAAUAUGUUUAAUUUUCUAUAUAGCUCCAUCAAGUAUGAUGGUGAAGGAUGAAUAUGUGCAUGACUUUGAGGGACAGCCAUCGUUGUCCACUGAAGGACAUUCAAUUCAAACCAUCCAGCAUCCACCAAGUAAUCGUGCGUCGACAGAGACAUACAGCACCCCAGCUCUGUUAGCCCCAUCUGAGUCUAAUGCUACCAGCACUGCCAACUUUCCCAACAUUCCUGUGGCUUCCACAAGUCAGCCUGCCAGUAUACUGGGGGGCAGCCAUAGUGAAGGACUGUUGCAGAUAGCAUCAGGGCCUCAGCCAGGACAGCAGCAGAAUGGAUUUACUGGUCAGCCAGCUACUUACCAUCAUAACAGCACUACCACCUGGACUGGAAGUAGGACUGCACCAUACACACCUAAUUUGCCUCACCACCAAAACGGCCAUCUUCAGCACCACCCGCCUAUGCCGCCCCAUCCCGGACAUUACUGGCCUGUUCACAAUGAGCUUGCAUUCCAGCCUCCCAUUUCCAAUCAUCCUGCUCCUGAGUAUUGGUGUUCCAUUGCUUACUUUGAAAUGGAUGUUCAGGUAGGAGAGACAUUUAAGGUUCCUUCAAGCUGCCCUAUUGUUACUGUUGAUGGAUACGUGGACCCUUCUGGAGGAGAUCGCUUUUGUUUGGGUCAACUCUCCAAUGUCCACAGGACAGAAGCCAUUGAGAGAGCAAGGUUGCACAUAGGCAAAGGUGUGCAGUUGGAAUGUAAAGGUGAAGGUGAUGUUUGGGUCAGGUGCCUUAGCGACCACGCGGUCUUUGUACAGAGUUACUACUUAGACAGAGAAGCUGGGCGUGCACCUGGAGAUGCUGUUCAUAAGAUCUACCCAAGUGCAUAUAUAAAGGUCUUUGAUUUGCGUCAGUGUCAUCGACAGAUGCAGCAGCAGGCGGCCACUGCACAAGCUGCAGCAGCUGCCCAGGCAGCAGCCGUGGCAGGAAACAUCCCUGGCCCGGGAUCAGUAGGUGGAAUAGCUCCAGCUAUCAGUCUGUCAGCUGCUGCUGGAAUUGGUGUUGAUGACCUUCGUCGCUUAUGCAUACUCAGGAUGAGUUUUGUGAAAGGCUGGGGACCGGAUUACCCAAGACAGAGCAUCAAAGAAACACCUUGCUGGAUUGAAAUUCACUUACACCGGGCCCUCCAGCUCCUCGACGAAGUACUUCAUACCAUGCCGAUUGCAGACCCACAACCUUUAGACUGAGGUCUUUUACCAUUGGGGCCCUUAACCUUAUCAGGAUGGUGGACUACAAAAUACAAUCCUGUUUAUAAUCUGAAGAUAUAUUUCACUUUUGUUCUGCUUUAUCUUUUCAUAAAGGGUUGAAAAUGUGUUUGCUGCCUUGCUCCUAGCAGACGGAAACUGGAUUAAAACAAUUUUUUUUUUCCUGUUCAGAACUUUUCAGGCAUGGCUCAGAGCUUGAAGAUUAGGAGAAACACAUUCUUAUUAAUUCUUCACCUGUUAUGUAUGAAGGAAUCAUUCCAGUGCUAGAAAAUUUAGCCCUUUAAAAUGUCUUAGAGCCUUUUAUCUGCAGAACAUCGAUAUGUAUAUCAUUCUACAGAAUAAAUCCAGUAUUGCUGAUUUUAAAGGCAGAGAAGUUCUCAAAGUUAAUUCACCUAUGUUAUUUUGUGUACAAGUUGUUAUUGUUGAACAUACUUCAAAAAUAAUGUGCCAUGUGGGUGAGUUAAUUUUACCAAGAGUAACUUUACUCUGUGUUUAAAAAGUAAGUUAAUGUAUUGUAAUCUUUCAUCCAAAAUAUUUUUUGCAAGUUAUAUUAGUGAAGAUGAUUUCAAUUCAGAUUGUCUUGCAACUUCAGUUUUGUUUUUGCCAAGGCAAAAAACUCUAAUCUGUGUGUAUAUUGAGAAUCCCUUAAAAUUACCAGACAAAAAAAGUCAUUUACAAUUACAUUUGUUAUUCCUAAUGGAUGACUGUUUAUGAAGAAGUAUACUUUUCCCCUGUUAAACAGUAGUUAUAUUCUUCUGUAUUUCUAGGCACAAGGUUGGUUGCUAAGAAGCAUCUAUAAGAGGAAUUUCUUUUCCUUCAUUCAUAGGGAAAGGUUUUGUAUUUUUUAAAACACUAAAAGCGGCGUCACUCUACCUAAUGUCUCACUGUUCUGCAAAGGUGGCAAUGCUUAAACUAAAUAAUGAAUAAACUGAAUAUUUUGGAAACUGCUAAAUUCUAUGUUAAAUACUGUGCAGAAUAAUGGAAACAUUACAGUUCAUAAUAGGUAGUUUGGAUAUUUUUGUACUUGAUUUGAUGUGACUUUUUUUGGUAUAAUGUUUAAAUCAUGUAUGUUACGAUAUUGUUUAAAAUUCAGUUUUUGUAUCUUGGGGCAAGACUGCAAACUUUUUUAUAUCUUUUGGUUAUUCUACGCCCUUUGCCAUCAAUGAUCAUAUCAACUGGCAGUGACUUUGUAUAGAGAAUUUAAGUAGAAAAGUUGCAGAUAUAUUGACUGUACCACAGACGCAAUAUGUAUGCUUUUUACCUAGCUGGUAGCAUAAAUAAAACUGAAUCUCAACAUA
Molecule: small RNA, 4976 nt
Filed under: Pongo abelii (Sumatran orangutan)
Lineage: Eukaryota; Metazoa; Chordata; Mammalia; Primates; Hominidae
Description: retained intron
Source: RNAcentral